AUGACCCUGUGCCACUUCUGGAAUGGUUCACCCUGGCCUACUUCCUCUACUUCAUCACCUACAAGCACUGUGGCCUGAGUGCAAUGCCUUCUGGAAGUGCGUGCAGGCCAGGGUCACCUACCUCUUCAUGCAGCUGUGCAAGAUGCUAUUCCUGGCCUUGUUUUUCCCCACCUGGGAAGGUGGCAUCCCUGACUUCUUUGGGGUGUCAUGAAGGUCAACAUGGAUGUGGCAGGCCUGUUAGGCCUAAACCUUGUCAUGUCCUGGAAUGUAUGCAAGGGGGAAUACAAGAUCAUGUUACUGCCCUAGGCUGGGCCAUGGCCAUGCUCAUUAUGUCCCACUGCAUCCCAUCUGAGUUGGAGCCCAGGGCAUGGAGUUUGACUGGAAGGACAUCCAGAAGACCAUGGACUCCAACAUCAGUCUGGUCCAUUACAUCAUCUCAUCUGCCCAGGUCUGGAUGAUAACACGCUACCACCCAUACCUCACUUUUCAGCCAUCGGUACUCCUACUGAUGCUCCUUAGCAUCUGUGAGGCCUUUGUCAUGGAGACCUUUGUCCAUCUCUGUUCCCUGGGCAGCUGGACAGCACUCUAUGGCCCUGUAUGUCACCGUUGUCAACAUGCAGUCCUAGACUUGGUGUCCCAAACAUUCACACACCCUUUCCCUGCCUCCAGGCUUCAGUGAAGUAAACAGUAUUUGGAAAGUAAAAAAUAAAUAAGUAAAUAUACAUAUACACACAUGAAAGCCAAGUUUCUUGAUGUAAAAGAAUUUUCUAAAUGCGUAAA
Molecule: RNA transcript, 780 nt
Organism: Mirounga angustirostris (Northern elephant seal)
Lineage: Eukaryota; Metazoa; Chordata; Mammalia; Carnivora; Phocidae
Gene name: BOS complex subunit TMEM147-like
Exons: 1
Source: RefSeq, a predicted model, not a curated record